RNAcentral lists this RNase P RNA (366 nucleotides) under Pseudoclavibacter sp. 8L. RNAcentral describes it as "RNaseP_bact_a". It matches the Rfam family "Bacterial RNase P class A". From Rfam's summary of the family: Ribonuclease P (RNase P) is a ubiquitous endoribonuclease, found in archaea, bacteria and eukarya as well as chloroplasts and mitochondria. The record is from RNAcentral. RNAcentral also lists the same sequence under 1 other name. Lineage: Bacteria; Bacillati; Actinomycetota; Actinomycetes; Micrococcales; Microbacteriaceae.
CAGGUCGACCAGGCGGUCGCGUCAUGGGAAGCCAUGCCGAGGAACGUCCGGGCUCCGCAGAGCAGGACGGUGGGUAACGCCCACCCGGGGAAACCCGCGAGACAGUGCCACAGAAAGCAGACCGCCCCGCCGUGUCCUUCGGAUGCUGGGGUAAGGGUGAAAGGGUGGGGUAAGAGCCCACCGGGCGCCUGGUGACAGGCGCUGCAAGGUAAACCUCGUCCGGAGCAAGGCCAUACAGGGGAUGACGACGCUGCUCGCCGAGUCCCCGGGUAGGCCGCUAGAUGCACGCGGCAACGUGUGCGCGAGAGAGAUGGCCGCCCCCGAUCCAGAUCGGGACAGAACCCGGCGUAUCGGUCGGCCUGCUCA